AAAAACUUGCUGGUUUUACGGCUCAGGGGGCAUCACGGAACCUGCCGACAUGUGAUGUCUCCCCCGGACACCCAGCUUUAAAAUUUCUCUCUUGUACUCUUUCCCUUUAUUUCUAGACCGGCCAACACUUAGAGAAAUAGAAAAGAACCUAUGUGAAAUAUCGGGGGCUGGUUUCCCCUGAUAGUGAAGGAGACAGGUUAGAUACACUGGAGCUUCCACACAGGAGAGAGGGAAGGAGCUGGAGAAGAAGUGGUUCCAGGCCGUGCGGCUGUGUGAAUCUACCUGAUGACCCUCGGCUGCUUGGGUACUGCCAUGGAUAGCGCAUGUGUUGGCUUUGUCCAGCUUUGGGCUUUUUCCCACAUUGAUUUUAAAAAGACAGGAGCCACAGAUUUUGGAGUACUGCAAAAUGACUUUCCAAAUUGAUGAACCAUGGACUCCAAGCUGGAUAGACACAGAAAUGAAAAGAAGGGACUAAUAGGGAAUAAGACGUGUGAUCCAUGGCCCGAUGGCCCUGAUGGACGUGAAGAUCCACUGUUGUGGGAGGAGUGGAACACUAACACUGAAUGAUGGAGGCUGUGGUCAGAAACAGGGAUUAGCAACCCACUCUCCACCAAAUUUCAAGUCACUAGGGGCAUUAUGCUAUGUCCCAGGAGUGGCCAAGGCUUCAAGGACCAAUGAUAGACCUGCUGCUCUAACCUAGGCCUGCUGAGGAGUACAAUUCAACCUGUGUUUCUGUGUGGUUCAGCAAUCUUGCUGAGCUCCUCUAAGUCAGUCCAUCCUGCCACAGCUGGGAAGAAUCAAGAAACUCUCCAAGAAGACGUUUAUUGGUUGAUAAAAAUCUGUUUAUCUGCCUGUUGCCAAUGAGAAGACAGGUCUGCUGACCAUGGCAGGCAUGGCAGCACGUGACACCGUGUUUGCUGCUCACUGCAUGUUCCACCUGAACUUUCCCGUCCGGUCAAUGAGUCUUGACAGUGGGGUGAAGGGGACUCACUCUCAAAGACCAAGGCUGACCCGCUUUGAGUACAAUGCCUUGACCUAGUUACUGUCACUGUGGUUUUGUCUUCAGGAACUAAAAGGUACAAUAAAAACUUGUUCAUUU
This 1099-nucleotide long non-coding RNA is filed under the name Homo sapiens (human). RNAcentral's name for it is "PREDICTED lncRNA (TCONS_00209548)". The record is from RNAcentral. Lineage: Eukaryota; Metazoa; Chordata; Mammalia; Primates; Hominidae.